GACAGAGGGUGCAAACGUUGUUCGGAAUUACUGGGCGUAAAGCGCGUGUAGGCGGCUUGGCAAGUCGGGUGUGAAAGCCCCGGGCUCAACCUGGGAAGUGCACUCGAAACUGCUUCGCUUGAGUAUCGGAGAGGGAAGUGGAAUUCUCGGUGUAGAGGUGAAAUUCGUAGAUAUCGAGAGGAACAUCGGUGGCGAAGGCGGCUUCCUGGACGAUUACUGACGCUGAGACGCGAAAGCGUGGGGAGCAAACAGG
RNAcentral lists this ribosomal RNA (253 nucleotides) under uncultured bacterium. Its description in RNAcentral is "partial 16S ribosomal RNA". It matches the Rfam family "Bacterial small subunit ribosomal RNA", at positions 524 to 776 of the family's 1533-position model. The record is from RNAcentral.